UGGGGCAUGGAUUAAGCGCACAAACACGUGGGUCGCAUCGGAAAAAAGGAACGCUGGUGAACGUUUCUUCUCGCUCACAUUGCGUAUCCACGUGCAAGAGAUCUGACCAAUCUUGUCCAGGUGCCGUUACUUUUCGGAUUAAAACGUCUGCCGGCUCGUUUAAUAGCUCAUUCUUUUUCAGUUACUUCUUUCUAGUAGACUCGGUCGUGUAGGUAGGUGUACAGGAUGAUUUUUUGUGGAAAUCCAGGUUUAUUUGUACCAGAAGAAAGUGAAUUAGUAGAUUGUUGUAAUGAUGAAAAAUUUGGGACUAUGGUCCUCUAAUAUCUGAAAUGAUUUUAUCAAAUUGUGAUCAUGAUUGCAUUAUGGUUGCAUUAAACCCGAGUAUUUCUACUGUGAUGAUCAAUGAAAUAUGACUCAAGGUCCAGAUUCAUCAGGAAAGGGAGAAGUGUUGCAAUUAUUUCGUAUGUGUUCUAAGUUGAUUGAGAAUAGUGUCGACGGUCAGGAUCCAAGGAUGGCUUGAAAGGGUUCACGAUGAGGAUUACUCGUUCAGUGAAGAGGGGAUCGACAGAACCGCGAUGCAUUUACAGAAGAAAAUUAAAAGCGGAGCUUCACCGGUGGAAGAUCAGUAAAAGACGCUUUCAGUAAAACGAUAAGUACUCUUUCUUUUCAUCCAUAAUUCAAUAUAUUAUAUCGGCUGAUAAUAAGGUUGCUCGUUGGAAUUUCAGGAUCCAAUGCGGUGAGGUGUUCCGGAAGUUGGGCCGCCAUGUAUCUUGUGCCAAGCGACAGAAACUCCGAUGAAUUUGCGCGAGAUAAUGAUCGACCACGGUUUUUAAUCGUGUUUCGAGUCGAUCCUUUCCUCUAAGAAGUCCAGACUGUUCCUGUGAUCGGCAUCGAUGUUGUUCAGAAUGUUGCACAAACGAAGCAACCUCGUUUCAUAAGAAUAAUUAUCCUUCGAUUCUUCGUUUGACAAUAGAUCUGAACACACGGAUGUCAUGUCGAUCUCCAACGGGUAGACUUGCACGUUUCGGCCGUAUCUGUUGGAGAUAUUAAAUUUGUUAGAAAAUGUUUGAAAUACAUAUAGAAAGUCUGACAUGAUUCGAUGACGUAAAAAUUUCACAAAACAGCACUUAUAGUUUAAACUUGCCUAAUAAAAUUCAAAUCAUUUCUUCCUCGUUUAUACUCUCUGUCACUGUUCAUCGUUCUGAAUCCAGAUCGACCGAAUCUGAUCACGAUGUCCGGUGAUUUCCAACGAGGAUACCUGUUUACUUUCGAGCUACCAUCGUCACCGUUCAAAAUUUUCUCCACGUUACCAUCCGGAUCGCUGCGACCGUAUCUGAUGAACGAAGAACCCGGGUUGCUUCGUCGUUCCUUUAAAUCAGAAUCCUCUGAACGACCAUCCCCGUUGCUGUGUCUCUUCAGCACGUAGUCGAAAUCGCUGGACGGAUCCUUGAAGAUCCUUAGGCUACCGUCGGCCUUCAGAGGAGUCAAUAUCGACGAUGACACCAAUACGUAGUUGCAGAGGAACGGCAACACGUACAGAGAUGAUAACAGGGUCUACGACAAUAGAACAUAACACAUAUUUUUAGUUAAGUUAAUUAAAAUAAUCUUUCCUAUACAUACUAAUGUGUUGCUCGAAUAGUAGAGCCGGGUCAAUCGUGACCUAGAUCUAUGGAAUUUAUACAACUGUACUUCAAUUAAGAUAUUGCAAGAUAAAAACGAACGAAGAGAAAUAGAAACACGUAGCCACGGUUAUAGUACGAGCUCAUUAUUUAUAUUACGCAACAAGGUGGACAAACGAUAGUAUCUUGUUUACAUUCCUCGAGAUUAUUCGAGAUGCAACAAGCUAGCACAAGGUUAGCGAUAAAUAAUAUCGACGGGUUAUUAGCUGUCUUAACAGGAUGUUUAGUGAUAGCAACGGUAUACCGAGCAAGAUUAAUACCGUUGCCUUACGUUACUUUAAUUAACCCCGUACGCGGCCACCCUUCAUAAUGGUUGCGUCGGCUACGAAACUUGCCACCGGUUUCUACUAAAAACCAACAGAUUUACGACGUUACUCUGAGAAAAUAACGAUAUUAACGGACGUGAUGCUCGUUAUUAUUAUUCUUUAUGUACGAUCAGUCUCGUCUGUACUUGUCGGUGACGAAUCGAGACGAAGAAAUGUUAAGAGAAAGAUUUGAAGGUAAAGAGUGAAA
Long non-coding RNA from Osmia lignaria (orchard mason bee), 2192 nucleotides. RefSeq lists it as uncharacterized. NCBI's taxonomy places the organism in Eukaryota, Metazoa, Arthropoda, Insecta, Hymenoptera, Megachilidae. The record is from RefSeq and is a predicted model, not a curated record.